AGCCAUGGCUUUUAAAGACACCGGCAAGAUACCAGUGGAGCCGGAGGUGGCGACCCACCGAAUAAGGAACACCCUCACCAGUCGCAACGUGAAAUCUCUGGAGAAAGUGUGCUCUGACCUGAUCAGAGGUGCAGAGGAAAAGAAUCUCAAAGUGAAAGGGCCAGUUCGCAUGCCUACCAAGACUUUGAGAAUCACUACAAGAAAAACUCCUUCAGGUGAAGGUUUCAAGACAUGGGAUCGCUUCCAGAUGAGAAUCCACAAGCGACUCCCCGACUUUCAUAGUCCUUCCGAGAUUGUCGAGCAGAUUACUUCCGUCAGUAUUGAGCCGGGAGUUGAGGCUGAAGUCACCAUUGCUGAUGCUUAAGUCAAGCAUUUUAAUAAAUUGAUUACACUUGUUAAAAUAA
This is an RNA transcript of Carlito syrichta (Philippine tarsier), 404 nucleotides long. It is a transcript of the gene named 40S ribosomal protein S20 pseudogene, with no coding region annotated. Lineage: Eukaryota; Metazoa; Chordata; Mammalia; Primates; Tarsiidae. The record is from RefSeq and is a predicted model, not a curated record. The transcript has a single exon.